Long non-coding RNA from Polyodon spathula (Mississippi paddlefish), 346 nucleotides. RefSeq lists it as uncharacterized. Lineage: Eukaryota; Metazoa; Chordata; Actinopteri; Acipenseriformes; Polyodontidae. The record is from RefSeq and is a predicted model, not a curated record. The transcript has 3 exons.
CACACAGGCAUGCAGACACAGAAACAUGGAUCCCAAUACCACACAGACACAUCGCAUUGGCAAGCAAGCAAUGGCCACAGUACGAGCAGCACUGCAGUAGAACCAUAGAAACAAAUACACUGCAUUAUUAACAAGAGAUGGAGAAACAAGUGAAAAAGAACAAGUUCCGGUGCUGGUGGAAACUGUAAACUCAAUCAAGGAGACAGGCACAUUAGAAAAAAGAAGGCCUGAAGACUUUUUUUCCGAGGAAAUCGUUUUGGAUCCUAUUAUUAAGCAAAAUUGGGCAAAUCUGAAUCAAGUCCCUCUGCUGCGAUGACUUUGCCUAGGGUGUGAUGCAGCUCUCUGC